GCCCAUCAGCAGAUAAUAGCCAAAACCUUUCUGUAAUUGCAGUGGCAGCUCCUGAGGACAUGGAGGCGUCGCUGUAAGACAAAGUAAGUUCCACAUUUCAUCUAUGAGCACACAUCUGUGACAGCACAGAGAAGCCAUGGUGCAGGCCAGGCCUCCGAGCACAGCACUGCUUUUAAUUGGACCAAACUGGAUCCAGGGUCACCUUCAUAAUAACCUCCACCGCUCCCGUUCGUCUCAUAUCAACAAUCUGACACGAGACAACUGCUGCGAUGUACAGAGGGAAAUCCUUUUAUCAGCACAGCAGCCGACCGUGAUGAACGCCACGGCUGAUGGGUGUAACGAAUCACCGGAUGGUUGGAGGAACUUAGGAGCACAAAGGAAAACGAUGGGUGGAUAAGCAAAAAUAGGAGAGAAAGAUGAUAAAGAAGCAACAUUAAAGACAUAAAGAGGAAAAGAUGGAUGAAAAAUAAAUAAUUAUUAGCAUAUAAAGAUUUGACUUUGUUAUUGAAGGAUUGGUUUAAAGAGGGAGGAAAGAAAGGGGGAGACAAUCAACUUUUGCUCCUAGUUUUUCUGCUAUUGUUCACUCCUGGUGGAUGUCCAGCAUGCAGGAAAACUGCCAGUGGCCAUCUUAAUAAUGCCA
This is a long non-coding RNA of Girardinichthys multiradiatus, 640 nucleotides long. RefSeq lists it as uncharacterized. The transcript is spliced from 3 exons. Lineage: Eukaryota; Metazoa; Chordata; Actinopteri; Cyprinodontiformes; Goodeidae. The record is from RefSeq and is a predicted model, not a curated record.